This 394-nucleotide ribosomal RNA is filed under the name uncultured bacterium. RNAcentral describes it as "bacterial SSU rRNA". It matches the Rfam family "Bacterial small subunit ribosomal RNA", at positions 395 to 801 of the family's 1533-position model. The record is from RNAcentral.
CGCCGCGUGAGGGAUGACGGCCUUCGGGUUGUAAACCUCUUUCAGCACAGACGAAGCGAAAGUGACGGUAUGUGCAGAAGAAGGACCGGCCAACUACGUGCCAGCAGCCGCGGUAAUACGUAGGGUCCGAGCGUUGUCCGGAAUUAUUGGGCGUAAAGGGCUCGUAGGCGGUUUGUCGCNUCGGGAGUGAAAACCAGGUGCUUAACACCUGGCCUGCUUCCGAUACGGGCUGACUAGAGGUAUUCAGGGGAGAAUGGAAUUCCUGGUGUAGCGGUGAAAUGCGCAGAUAUCAGGAGGAACACCGGUGGCGAAGGCGGUUCUCUGGGAAUGACCUGACGCUGAGGAGCGAAAGUGUGGGGAGCGAACAGGAUUAGAUACCCUGGUAGUCCAAGGG